This 481-nucleotide ribosomal RNA is filed under the name uncultured bacterium. RNAcentral's name for it is "partial 16S ribosomal RNA". It matches the Rfam family "Bacterial small subunit ribosomal RNA", at positions 28 to 507 of the family's 1533-position model. The record is from RNAcentral.
GAUGAACGCUGGCGGCGUGCUUAACACAUGCAAGUCGAACGAAGCACUUUAUUUGAUUUCCUUCGGGACUGAUUAUUUUGUGACUGAGUGGCGGACGGGUGAGUAACGCGUGUGUAACCUGCCUUGUACAGGGGGAUAAUAUUUGGAAACGGCUGCUAAUACCUCAUAAGCGUCCAGCGUCGCAUGAUGCAGUGGGAAGAAUUCCGGUGGAAUAAGAUGGACCCGCGUUGGAUUAGCUAGUAGGUGAGGUAACGGCCAACCAAGGCGACCAUCCAUAGCUGAGCUGAGAGGGUGACCGGCCACAUUGGGACUGAGACACGGCCCAAACUCCUACGGGAGGCAGCAGUGGGGAAUAUUGCACAAUGGGCGAAAGCCUGAUGCAGCAACGCCGCGUGAGUGAAGAAGUAAUUCGGGAUGUAAAGCUCUAUCAGCAGGGAAGAUAAUGACGGUACCUGACUAAGAAGCACCGGCUAAAUACGUG